Long non-coding RNA from Eupeodes corollae, 1543 nucleotides. RefSeq lists it as uncharacterized. The transcript is spliced from 3 exons. The record is from RefSeq and is a predicted model, not a curated record. Lineage: Eukaryota; Metazoa; Arthropoda; Insecta; Diptera; Syrphidae.
UUACGUCUCAGCCUCCACCUAUAACGGUAAACCCACUAUCCCUCACACGCCCCUUUGCCUAACGGCACUUUAACAUAAGCCAUAACGGGUUCCCACAAUUUUUUGCUUACAUAGCAUUCUUGAUCCACAAACGGAUACACCCCCUUUUCCCGUUCCUCCAACAAAUGCAAAAGAACAAUAUUCAUAUUUCAUUUUAUUCAAAGUGAAAUAUGAAUAUUUUAUAAACAAGUGCAUUCUUCUCCCACGGGAGACACUUUGCAUUUCGAUAAGCACUAUGUGGAAUAGUUCACAAGAUAGCAUUAAUUAUUUUAUAAGUUUAGUCUUAAUACAACAAGCUCUAAAAGAGGUGCAGCCUUGCUAUGGACAGCGGCCUCUUCGUGAGCAAUUAAUAAUAAUAAAUAAUAAUUGUAAAAUCAUUAAUUAAUAAAAAUAAUAAAUAAAUAAAGAAAAAAAAGAAAAGAAAAUAUAAACAAAUAAAAAGAACUUUAUGUUUUUCUUAAACAAACGUUAAGACUCAAAAUAUAACUGGCGCAGUCGGUCUGUUCGAUUAAGAACAAAACGUGAACAACGCGAUCGAUAAAGUAAUAUAAAGUAAUCUGUUCGAUUAAGAACAAAACGCGAACAACGCGAUCGAUAAAGUAAUAUAAAGUAACAAUUUCGAUCAAGAACAAAUAACGUUAUAUUAAAGUACAAUUAAGUACAAACUCGAUAGAAAGUGCAAAAAAAACAAAAUUAAAAUUAAUUACCUAUAAAAAAAAACAAGAACAAACAACGUUAUAUUAAAGUACGAUUAAGUACAAAUUCGACAGAAAGUGCAAUCCCACGACAAAAAAUAAAAAUUAAUUAUAAAAAAAAAAAAAAAAACACGAACGACGCGAUCGAUAAAGUAAUAUAUAAUAAGUUCGAACAAGAACAACCAACGUUAUAUUAAAGUGCGAAAGUACAAUCCCACAACACAAAAAUAAAAAUUAAUUAUAAAAAAAAUUUGUAUGGACAUAGAAGAGCUAGCAAAAUUAUUCAGUGAUAUAAAACUAAAUAACAACAUGACCGAAUCAACAUCAGCAGCAGAAGCAGCAGCGGCAGCAUUAGCAGCAGCACGAGCAAGACUUACCAAUACAGCAACAGGAAUGCUCAAUAUCGAUCGUAUGCGGAAAUUAUUCAUUCGAGUUCGAAAAAAAAUGGAAACUGCGUUCAACACGUAAUACUAAUUUACGAAUUCCGUGUGCGUUCUUUUGUUUUUCUGUAUAGAUGGGCAAUGCGAAUUUAUAUAUUGCGAUUUUACUAAAGUGGUUUGGGAAAGAAAAAAUCAUGACAGCGAUUAAAACUACUUUCGAUGAAACAGGCGAAGAAGACAACGUUGAUUAAGAUUUUUUUGUUACUAAGAAGCCAUUUUUCACCAAAAAUCAAGUGAUUUUUAAACCUAAAAAUUGGUUUUGAAUGAAUUAACUAAAAAAGUAUCGUUAACGCCAAAAACUAAAAAAAAAAACCGCAUUACCAAACCAAAUUACGAGACAAAAUACUACAAUAUACGAAAGGUAGUAAA